UAUGUGAUCGUCUCUCGCAUAUCAAUAAGCGGAGGAAAAGAAACUAACAAGGAUUCCCCUAGUAACGGCGAGUGAAGCGGGAAGAGCUCAAAUUUGAAAUCUUAAAGGGUUUCCCUUUACGAAUUGUAGUUUAAAGAAGUGUUUUCUGUUGAGGUUUUGGUAAAAGUUCUUUGGAAUAGGACAUCAUAGAGGGUGAGAAUCCCGUAUUUGACCUUUACUUUCAACUUUGUGAUACACCUUCAAAGAGUCGGAUUGUUUGGGAAUGCAGUCCAAAAUGGGUGGUAAAUUUCAUCUAAAGCUAAAUAUUGGCGAGAGACCGAUAGCGAACAAGUACCGUGAGGGAAAGAUGAAAAGAACUUUGAAAAGAGAGUUAAACAGUACGUGAAAUUGUCAAAAGGGAAGCGUUUGACACCAGUGUUGUUUUUCUGAAAAUCAAUUAAAGAACUGUUUAUGCUAAGUUGUUUAGACUUUAUCAGCUAUCUGCUUAGUUUUGAGCUUUUCUUUAAUGCACUUUUCAGUUAACAAGUCAACAUCAAUUUCUUUUGCUGUAAAAAAGCUUGAGGAAGGUGGCUUGAGAUUCGUCUUAAGUGUUUAUAGCCUCUUGCCUAUGCAGUCGGAGAGAUUGAGGUCUGCAGCGUAGAUCCUUCGGGGCUAAAUGCAUUUGUGCUAAGUUAUAGCAUUUUAUAGACAACUUGUUGACUAUGAUUUGUCUUGUAGCUUACUCGCUUAUGUUAUUUUACCUACGCUUAGGAUGUUGACGAGACUGUCGAUCUC
Molecule: ribosomal RNA, 774 nt
Filed under: uncultured Neocallimastigales
Lineage: Eukaryota; Fungi; Neocallimastigomycota; Neocallimastigomycetes; Neocallimastigales
Description: partial large subunit ribosomal RNA
Rfam family: Eukaryotic large subunit ribosomal RNA
Source: RNAcentral